Vicia faba (fava bean) is the source of this 183-nucleotide non-coding RNA. Lineage: Eukaryota; Viridiplantae; Streptophyta; Magnoliopsida; Fabales; Fabaceae. The record is from the annotation of a GenBank genome assembly.
AUGUCUCGCAACAACAACUAUUUGCUCCACCCUUUCACCUCCACAUUCAUCCCUUUCUUCCGCCACUUACCGAAUCAAAUUUCCUUUCUCCGCGUCCUCAAGCUAUCGACGCUAGAACCUCCACCUUCGCCAUUGACGACAUCUCCGCUUCCAACUACCAUGAUGCCUCUGUCAAUUGCAUGA